Molecule: small nucleolar RNA, 132 nt
Organism: Astyanax mexicanus (Mexican tetra)
Lineage: Eukaryota; Metazoa; Chordata; Actinopteri; Characiformes; Acestrorhamphidae
Source: Ensembl
UGCCUUAGUGUUGCCCGUUCAUUUUUCCUCAUGAUGAAUGAGGUGUCAUCUAAGGCACACAGUAAAUCUUCUCACAGCCUGAGCAUGAAAGUCUCAGUGACUCUCACAUCUUUUGCCAUGAGAAGAACAUUC